UACGAAGGGGGCUAGCGUUGUUCGGAAUUACUGGGCGUAAAGCGCGCGCAGGCGGUCCUUCAAGUCAGAGGUGAAAGCCCAGAGCUCAACUCUGGAACGGCCUUUGAGACUAGAGGACUUGGGUACGGGAGAGGUGAGUGGAAUUCCGAGUGUAGAGGUGAAAUUCGUAGAUAUUCGGAAAAACACCAGUGGCGAAGGCGGCCCGCUGGACAUGUAUUGACGCUGAGGUGCGAAAGCGUGGGGAGCAAACAGG
RNAcentral lists this ribosomal RNA (253 nucleotides) under uncultured bacterium. RNAcentral describes it as "partial 16S ribosomal RNA". It matches the Rfam family "Bacterial small subunit ribosomal RNA", at positions 524 to 776 of the family's 1533-position model. The record is from RNAcentral.